Molecule: ribosomal RNA, 371 nt
Filed under: uncultured bacterium
Lineage: Bacteria
Description: bacterial SSU rRNA
Rfam family: Bacterial small subunit ribosomal RNA
Source: RNAcentral
AGAGGGGGCAAGCGUUGUUCGGAAUUACUGGGCGUAAAGGGCGCGUAGGCGGCCGCCUAAGUCAGACGUGAAAUCCCUCGGCUCAACCGGGGAACUGCGUCUGGUACUGGGUGGCUUGAAUUCGGGAGAGGGAUGCGGAAUUCCAGGUGUAGCGGUGAAAUGCGUAGAUAUCUGGAGGAACACCGGUGGCGAAGGCGGCAUCCUGGACCGAGAUUGACGCUGAGGCGCGAAAGCCAGGGGAGCAAACGGGAUUAGAUACCCCGGUAGUCCUGGCCCUAAACGAUGAGUGCUUGGUGUGGCGGGUAUCGAUCCCUGCCGUGCCGAAGCUAACGCAUUAAGCACUCCGCCUGGGGAGUACGGUCGCAAGGCUG